CGGGGCAGCCCCGUCGCGCCGGGUGCCGCCUCCCCGCUCCCCGCCCGCCAGCCGGCCGCGCCCUCGCGUCUGAGUGGCACCUUCGGCGGCGCCCAGGUCUGGCUUUGCCUUGGACAAAACAAGCCUCCUCCUCUAGAUGCUCAAAUUUCCAAACCGGACCCACAUGGUGCAGAAACAAUACCUCGUCCUUCAAGAUGUCACCGCUCCUGCUGAUUGCCUCAGCUCCCCCCGACUCCUUGCCCCGGCCACGUAGAGCUUCAUCCUAUCCCAUGGAAAGGCUCACACAUAAGAGGACAACCCAGCUAGUGUGGUGGCUCAUGCCUGUACUAAUUCCAGUACUUUGGGAGGCCGAGGUGGGCAGAUCGCGAGGUCAGGAGUUCCAGACCAGCCUGGCCAAUAUGGUGAAACCCUGUCUCCACUAAAAAUACAAGAAUUAGCCUGGCGUGGUGGCGUGUGCCUAUAGUCCCAGUUAUUCAGGAGGCUGAGGCAGAAAAAUUGCUUUUACCUGGGAGGUGGAGGUUGCUUGCAGUUAGCUGAGAUCAAGCCACUGCACUCCAGCCUGGGUGACAGAGUGAGACUCCAUCUACAAAAAAAAAAAGGACAAGGACAACCCAGCCUACACAUCUAAGUGAUAUCACACCCCUCAAAAAAGCCACCCCUUGGUGAUUCCUCGGGCCAGGGGCCAGCCUUGGAAGAUGAGGUCUGGAAGCGGCAAGGCAGUCAGGACCAGGGUUCCAGGUGCUCAGAGAGUAUGGAACUCCUUGCCCCAUGGGGAGGGGGGAUGCUAGAGGGGACCUUCUACACCAGACAGGAAUGCCUCUCUGCCAGAUCUCACAGCAAGAGUUAUGAAUUCCAGUUGCAAACCCAAGUCUUUUUUCUCUGUGUGCUCUACUGUGACACUGAAUUACAUCAAUCACCUCAGGUAAGACAUAAUAGUAUGUUUUAUCCACCAACAAAAUGACUAACUCACUGUCAACUUCUAAGCUAUCAUUUAACUUCAAUUAAAGCUAAUUUUCACACUAUGUAUAACCUACUUAUCUACAUAUGUCAAUAAUGCAUAUCACCACUCAGCAUCUAGGACAUCAGAUACUUGGCAUGCAUUGCUGUUUUAUUAACAUUUGAGCACCAGUAAUGUGCUAGGCACAACCUGGAAGACAGAAUUAGACAAAGAUCUGCCAAUUAGUCUAAACCAAACUGUGUCAACAAACCAUAAUCAAAGUAAGCCAUC
This 1228-nucleotide long non-coding RNA is filed under the name Pan paniscus (pygmy chimpanzee). Its description in RNAcentral is "lncRNA (ENSPPAG00000045173.1)". Lineage: Eukaryota; Metazoa; Chordata; Mammalia; Primates; Hominidae. The record is from RNAcentral.